This 593-nucleotide non-coding RNA is filed under the name Pongo abelii (Sumatran orangutan). The record is from RNAcentral. Lineage: Eukaryota; Metazoa; Chordata; Mammalia; Primates; Hominidae.
CUUUAAUCCACCUCUGCAUGUGAUCAUCUGCAUGUGACUCCUUGAACUAUGGCAGCCAGCUGGAGCCAUGAAGUAAGCCACCCUAACAUGACUGGCAGAAACAUGGAGAGACAGGGUUUCACCAUAAUGGCCAGGCUGCUCUCCACCUCCUGGGCUCAAGCGAUCCACCCACCUCAGCCUCCCAAAAUGCUGGGAUUACAGGCAUGAGCCAUGGUUCCCCUCCAUCAUCAGCCCAAAUGUCAGUUGCUGGAGUACAAAGGCAGUGGCUGCUUCAGAUGCUUCAGACUGAAACUGCUCUUUGCCAUUCUCAUGGACACUGGAGAGUUAAGUUUGGUUAAAUUGAUGGCUUUUUCUUUUAAAAAAGAAAGAAUACACAUAUACCUUUGUGUACACACAAGCUAGGAAACAUCAAUCUAAUACAUGGAUGGCAAGAAAAACCAGAUCUAGCUCAUGCCAGUUACAACGGUCUGUGAAGACAAAAAGAUUUCUUCAGAUUUAUUUCUCAGCCAAUUUGUGCUUUUCUUAGGGAGAAAUUAAAAGUUUGUUAAAUACCUAUGUUUAGCCUUUUAUUAAUUUAGCCAGUGAAAUUAAAG